CGAACGGGUGAGUAAUAUAUCGGAACGUGCCCAGUCGUGGGGGAUAACGUAGUGAAAAUUACGCUAAUACCGCAUACGAUCUAAGGAUGAAAGCGGGGGAUCGCAAGACCUCGCGCGACUGGAGCGGCCGAUAUCAGAUUAGGUAGUUGGUAGGGUAAAGGCCUACCAAGCCAACGAUCUGUAGCUGGUCUGAGAGGACGACCAGCCACACUGGAACUGAGACACGGUCCAGACUCC
RNAcentral lists this ribosomal RNA (237 nucleotides) under uncultured bacterium. RNAcentral's name for it is "partial 16S ribosomal RNA". It matches the Rfam family "Bacterial small subunit ribosomal RNA", at positions 99 to 339 of the family's 1533-position model. The record is from RNAcentral.